Long non-coding RNA from Topomyia yanbarensis, 905 nucleotides. RefSeq lists it as uncharacterized. The record is from RefSeq and is a predicted model, not a curated record. The transcript has 4 exons. Lineage: Eukaryota; Metazoa; Arthropoda; Insecta; Diptera; Culicidae.
UUAUACGUAAUUCUCUCUUUUUUGACAAUCCGUUUGUUCCUUCGCUGUUCAUCGAACCCGGUUUAACUAUACACAAUAGAAAUACGUCAAAUUUCAUGUUCGUUUUGAUACGUCAUGGCCUCUUGGCCACACUCUAACCCGAGUGCUCUAGGUUUAACGACAGCAUAGAAUUAAAAAUUCUAUUUUCACCGCACGAUUUCGACAAUUUUUUCCCGUUCUGAGCUGGCAACCAUUCUUUUCAGGAAUCAAAUUGUUGAUAGGAAAAAUAGGUUGAAAUCGACCCGCCAGAUAAAUACCGGCUGAAGUUUGGCAUCGACAGGGAAUAACUGCUCAGAAAAUUACGGUUCCUAACUAUAAGUCCGUACUGAGCCGUCAGGAACAAGUCCUUCAGGCAGGCAGACGGCACGUAAGGGUUGAUGUUGGAAUCGAAGAAUACACUUACGGAAGUCGUCCCGGAAGUACCACGUAUACUUCUCAGCAGCGUGCAAAGAAACCCGUCAAAAUGCUGGUGCGCAAGGUGCCCAAAAAACAACGACAAUCCAAGCCCCGAUUGCUGAAUACAACCUUUUUUCAAGCAUGCACCGCAAAAGUUGCAUCAAACGCAUAACCCCCUCUGCCUCUGACUGUGUAUGAAAAGUGGUUCACUAGUAUUAAACGACGAUUGUUUGAACGUUCAAUAGAACCGCUAAACCGGUGUUCAUCGUCAGCUGUAAGAAUCCAUAUUUCAGUUUGCGUACUUUUAUGCGGAGUUAGUUUUUAAAUCGGAUGUAAAAGGUUUGGUCGAAGGCAGUUUUUGCGAAAUCAUACGACAAAUAUUUCAAGUUACAACCUCGGUCACAAUAAGGAUAUUUUAUUGAUAUGAAUUUGAAGGACAAUGCUAAAAUGCAAUCUAUUGAUGCUGGUUU